AGAGUUUGAUCAUGGCUCAGAUUGAACGCUGGCGGCAGGCCUAACACAUGCAAGUCGAACGGUAACAGGAAUCAGCUUGCUGAUUCGCUGACGAGUGGCGGACGGGUGAGUAAUGUCUGGGAAACUGCCUGAUGGAGGGGGAUAACUACUGGAAACGGUAGCUAAUACCGCAUAACGUCGCAAGACCAAAGAGGGGGACCUUCGGGCCUCUUGCCAUCGGAUGUGCCCAGAUGGGAUUAGCUAGUAGGUGGGGUAACGGCUCACCUAGGCGACGAUCCCUAGCUGGUCUGAGAGGAUGACCAGCCACACUGGAACUGAGACACGGUCCAGACUCCUACGGGAGGCAGCAGUGGGGAAUAUUGCACAAUGGGCGCAAGCCUGAUGCAGCCAUGCCGCGUGUAUGAAGAAGGCCUUCGGGUUGUAAAGUACUUUCAGCGGGGAGGAAGGGAGUAAAGUUAAUACCUUUGCUCAUUGACGUUACCCGCAGAAGAAGCACCGGCUAACUCCGUGCCAGCAGCCGCGGUAAUACGGAGGGUGCAAGCGUUAAUCGGAAUUACUGGGCGUAAAGCGCACGCAGGUGGUUUGUUAAGUCAGAUGUGAAAUCCCCGGGCUCAACCUGGGAACUGCAUCUGAUACUGGCAAGCUUGAGUCUCGUAGAGGGGGGUAGAAUUCCAGGUGUAGCGGUGAAAUGCGUAGAGAUCUGGAGGAAUACCGGUGGCGAAGGCGGCCCCCUGGACGAAGACUGACGCUCAGGUGCGAAAGCGUGGGGAGCAAACAGGAUUAGAUACCCUGGUAGUCCACGCCGUAAACGAUGUCGACUUGGAGGUUGUGCCCUUGAGGCGUGGCUUCCGGAGCUAACGCGUUAAGUCGACCGCCUGGGGAGUACGGCCGCAAGGUUAAAACUCAAAUGAAUUGACGGGGGCCCGCACAAGCGGUGGAGCAUGUGGUUUAAUUCGAUGCAACGCGAAGAACCUUACCUGGUCUUGACAUCCACGGAAGUUUUCAGAGAUGAGAAUGUGCCUUCGGGAACCGUGAGACAGGUGCUGCAUGGCUGUCGUCAGCUCGUGUUGUGAAAUGUUGGGUUAAGUCCCGCAACGAGCGCAACCCUUAUCCUUUGUUGCCAGCG
RNAcentral lists this ribosomal RNA (1126 nucleotides) under Escherichia coli KOEGE 3 (4a). RNAcentral describes it as "bacterial SSU rRNA". It matches the Rfam family "Bacterial small subunit ribosomal RNA", at positions 8 to 1123 of the family's 1533-position model. Lineage: Bacteria; Pseudomonadati; Pseudomonadota; Gammaproteobacteria; Enterobacterales; Enterobacteriaceae. The record is from RNAcentral.